GUCCUCUUGUUUAUAUAUGAGGUUUGACCUGCCCGGUGAAAUUAUUUUAACGGCCGCAGUAUUUUGACUGUGCAAAGGUAGCAUAAUCAUUAGUCUUUUAAUAGGGGGCUGGAAUGAAGGGUUUGACGAGGUGUUAACUGUCUCAUUAAAUUUAUUAUUAAAAUUUAACUUUUCAGUCAAAAGGCUGAAAUUAUAUUGGAAGACGAGAAGACCCUAUAGAGCUUUAUAAUUUAAAGUUUAAUUAUUAUUUGUUUAUUAUUUUUUAUUAUUCUUUUAAUUAUUUUGUUGGGGUGACAAAAAUAUAAAAUUAACUUUUUUAUUUAAUCAACAUUGAUUAAUGAAUAUUAGAUCCAAUCUUAUUGAUUGUUAGAUUAAGUUACC
This 381-nucleotide ribosomal RNA is filed under the name Stylurus amnicola. RNAcentral describes it as "partial 16S ribosomal RNA". Lineage: Eukaryota; Metazoa; Arthropoda; Insecta; Odonata; Gomphidae. The record is from RNAcentral.